GAUGAACGCUAGCUACAGGCUUAACACAUGCAAGUCGAGGGGCAUCAGGAAGAAAGCUUGCUUUCUUUGCUGGCGACCGGCGCACGGGUGAGUAACACGUAUCCAACCUGCCCUUUACUCGGGGAUAGCCUUUCGAAAGAAAGAUUAAUACCCGAUAGCAUAAUGAUUCCGCAUGGUUUCAUUAUUAAAGGAUUCCGGUAAAGGAUGGGGAUGCGUUCCAUUAGGUUGUUGGUGAGGUAACGGCUCACCAAGCCUUCGAUGGAUAGGGGUUCUGAGAGGAAGGUCCCCCACAUUGGAACUGAGACACGGUCCAAACUCCUACGGGAGGCAGCAGUGAGGAAUAUUGGUCAAUGGGCGCUAGCUUGAACCAGCCAAGUAGCGUGAAGGAUGAAGGCUCUAUGGGUCGUAAACUUCUUUUAUAUAAGAAUAAAGUGCAGUAUGUAUACUGUUUUGUAUGUAUUAUAUGAAUAAGGAUCGGCUAACUCCGUGCCAGCAGCCGCGGUAAUACGGAGGAUCCGAGCGUUAUCCGGAUUUAUUGGGUUUAAAGGGAGCGUAGGUGGACUGGUAAGUCAGUUGUGAAAGUUUGCGGCUCAACCGUAAAAUUGCAGUUGAUACUGUCAGUCUUGAGUACAGUAGAGGUGGGCGGGAUUCGUGGUGUAGCGGUGAAAUGCUUAGAUAUCACGAAGAACUCCGAUUGCGAAGGCAGCUCACUGGACUGCAACUGACACUGAUGCUCGAAAGUGUGGGUAUCAAACAGG
This 758-nucleotide ribosomal RNA is filed under the name uncultured bacterium. RNAcentral's name for it is "bacterial SSU rRNA". It matches the Rfam family "Bacterial small subunit ribosomal RNA", at positions 28 to 776 of the family's 1533-position model. The record is from RNAcentral.